This 497-nucleotide ribosomal RNA is filed under the name uncultured bacterium. RNAcentral's name for it is "partial 16S ribosomal RNA". It matches the Rfam family "Bacterial small subunit ribosomal RNA", at positions 28 to 507 of the family's 1533-position model. The record is from RNAcentral.
GAUGAACGCUGGCGGCGUGCCUAAUACAUGCAAGUCGAGCGAACAGAUAAGGAGCUUGCUCCUUUGACGUUAGCGGCGGACGGGUGAGUAACACGUGGGUAACCUACCUAUAAGACUGGGAUAACUUCGGGAAACCGGAGCUAAUACCGGAUAACAUUUGGAACCGCAUGGUUCUAAAGUGAAAGAUGGUUUUGCUAUCACUUAUAGAUGGACCCGCGCCGUAUUAGCUAGUUGGUAAGGUAACGGCUUACCAAGGCGACGAUACGUAGCCGACCUGAGAGGGUGAUCGGCCACACGGGAACUGAGACACGGUCCAGACUCCUACGGGAGGAAGCAGUAGGGAAUCUUCCGCAAUGGGCGAAAGCCUGACGGAGCAAAGCCGCGUGAGUGAUGAAGGGUUUCGGAUCGUAAAACUCUGUUAUUAGGGAAGAACAAACGUGUAAGUAACUGUGCACGUCUUGACGGUACCUAAUCAGAAAGCCACGGCUAACUACGUG